RNAcentral lists this ribosomal RNA (618 nucleotides) under Triticum aestivum (bread wheat). Its description in RNAcentral is "partial small subunit ribosomal RNA". Lineage: Eukaryota; Viridiplantae; Streptophyta; Magnoliopsida; Poales; Poaceae. The record is from RNAcentral.
AUGGAGGUCGAGAUCAAGCUCCGUCUCCCCGGCGCGGCUGCACACCAGCGCCUCUCCUCCUUCCUCGCGCCCCGCCUGCUCCGCACCGAUGCCCCAGCGCGGCCCCUCGCCGCCGCCACCACCGCCCAGCGGGACGUCCGCCUCUACGGCACCGACGACCGCGACCCCUCCCGCGCCGUCCUCACGCUCAAGCGCCGCCCGCGCAUCGACGCCGGCGUCAGCCGCGUUGAGGAGGUCGUGGAGCCCCUCGACCCCGCCCUCGCCCUCACCUGCGUCGACAACCCCGCCCGUCUCGGCGCGGUCGACUCCCCCAUCGUCCGGCUCGUCUCCGACGAGUACGGCGUCGGCGGGGACAAAGCGCCGUUCGUCUGCCUCGGCGGCUUCUGGAACACCCGCGGUGUGUAUGAGCUCGAGGAGGGCGAGGGGAAGGGGCUCGUGCUAGAGCUCGACGAGACACACUUCGAUUUCGGCACAAACUACGAGCUGGAGUGCGAGACCGCGGAGCCCGACCAGGCCAAGGAGGUCCUGGAGCGGCUGCUCACCGUGGCUGGGGUGCCGUAUGAGUACUCCCGGAGCAAUAAGUUCGCGUGCUUCAUGGCCGGGAAGCUGCUUCCGUGA